Molecule: long non-coding RNA, 219 nt
Organism: Panthera uncia (snow leopard)
Lineage: Eukaryota; Metazoa; Chordata; Mammalia; Carnivora; Felidae
Exons: 2
Source: RefSeq, a predicted model, not a curated record
CCUGGGUGGCUCAGUCGGUUGAGCGUCCGACUUCAGCUCAGCUCAGGUCAUGAUCUCUCAGUCUGUGAGUUCGAGCCCCGCGUCGGGCUCUGUGCUGACAGCUCAGAGCCUGGAGCCUGUUUCAGAUUCUGUGUCUCCCUCUCUCUGACCCUCCCCCGUUCACGCUCUGUCUCUCUCUGUCUCAAAAAUAAAUAAACGUUAAAAAAAAAUAAAAUUGUA